This 30-nucleotide non-coding RNA is filed under the name Mus musculus (house mouse). The record is from RNAcentral. Lineage: Eukaryota; Metazoa; Chordata; Mammalia; Rodentia; Muridae.
UAAUCUGUAUGGAAAAUGGCUUGCUGUCCU